RNAcentral lists this long non-coding RNA (914 nucleotides) under Chrysolophus pictus (golden pheasant). RNAcentral's name for it is "lncRNA (ENSCPIG00010002835.1)". The record is from RNAcentral. Lineage: Eukaryota; Metazoa; Chordata; Aves; Galliformes; Phasianidae.
CUCCUUUCUCAUGAGUUUGAAUGAGAAGCUGGGAAUAUACCUGUUCUGUACAAGGAAAAACAUUUUGUGGUAAUAUGGAAAUGAAAAUUCAGUUAUAGCUUACAAUAAUUUUAUUGCUGACCCUUAUCUUUGGAAAACUGCAUUGCUUUCUGAAGACCAAAGUCUUUUUUUCUUUCUCAGGGCUUUUCUCAGCCUUGCUUGGGACAGAUCUUCAAGAAAUGUAAUUGAAACAUGUUAGAACUUCUUUUUGGAGGAGAAACAUGCACUACAUCCAAGAACACUGGAUUUCAGCCCUCUCUUGAUGUUUCCAUGGCCUCAUGAGUGCGAUGAAGCCUUUCUUCAUGGCAGAAUGACACACAACAGAUUUGCAUCUUUAAAGAUCCUUCCUGAUUUUGCAUAUAAACAAAAUCUGGCUUAAACGGUUCAGGUGGUGAUUGUGAAGGGUUUAUAUUGAUGGAUCAGGUCUCCAUUCACCAGCAACCUCAGAGGGAACUCUGCUGUGGGCUGCUAGAACACAGAUCAGGGAAGUGAUGCUGUUUCUAAGGGACGAGCUGCAGCACAUAGGACCCAGCCAGCCUGCCUCCAUCCUGCUCAGGACAGCCAGGUUUUGACUGCCAGUGUUCCGUGGCCCUAUGGAUUUGCCAGCUCAUAUACAGCUCUGAAAAUGGAUGCACGUCUCCUAUGGACCAUACAGCACCAGACUGGUUGCAUGGAGUACUGACAGUGCAGAAAAGGUUUGCUUGUCCAUGGAACAAACCACAUGGGCAUUGUUAAUGAUGCUGCAGAGAGAAGAGAAGUUCUCAACCCAGAGGGAGAUCCCAGGAGCCUUGAAACAGUUUGGAUCCUUUAUCUACAGCGUGAGGAAAGCCUGUUUCUCUAAAGCAAAUGUGGCUGUGUCCUGAAAUCCAAGGACC